CAACAGUAAAACUGAGGCUCCAGAGGCUGUGGGAUUUGCUCAGGGCCACACCGCCAGAAGUAGAUCCAGCCAUCCUGACUCAGAACCAGCCAGAGAGGCCUGACAUUGAAUGUCAGACACUGCCAGGGAGAAGUGGGUAAUCUCAGACGUGGAAAUUGAGACUGCAUGACUCACCCAAAGCCUCUGGAUUAGUAAGAUACUUAGCUGAGAUCUCAACAUGGAGCUGCCAGACCCCACCUGUUAUGAAGCACCUACAAAAGAGGAUGGUGAAAAACCCUCCAGGCUGGACAGAGGGUCUCCUAGAGGGACCACAGGGUGGAGUCGACCCUUGGACUUGGGCUAGAAGCAUCUAAGACCCUAAUUAAAACAAGGACAGAAGGAAUGGUGAUAAUCGGUCUGUUUACAGAGUGCCAGGCAAGCACUAUUAUUAGCUCCAUUUUAUAGACACUCCGCAUAUAUUAUCAUAGAUAGUCUGCAUAUGUUUAAUCUUUCCUACACCCUUACAGGACAGAUAUUAUUAUGGUCUCCAUUCUGCAAAUAGGAGAAAUGAGGCUCAGAGGGAUGAAGACUUUCUCGUCCACAUCCGCCAUGCUAGUGAACAGCAGUGCUGGGAUCUGAACCCAGGUUUCAAAGAGCAUCUAUUAUUCAUUAUUUAUUGGGGCCUUCCUGGAUGCCUGACACUAUAACAAUAACGACGACAAUAAUAAUACUAAUUCCUUGUGUUCCAGGUCAUAGAAUGUGAAAGGAAAAUAAAUCUUGGGGCCCCCAAAUCACUAAGCUAAAGGGAAAAGUCAAGCUGGGAACUGUUUAGGGCCAACCUACCCCCCAUUCUAUUCAAAGGCAGCCCUCUGCUCACUGACAUAGAUGCAUUAUCUGUUUGUCUCCUUUGGAAAGGCUAAUCAGAAACUCAAAAGAAUGCGACCAUUUGUCUCUCACCUACCUGUGACCUGGAAAACCCCUCCCUGCUUCAAGUUGUCCUGCAUUUCUAGAUCGAACCAAUGUACUUCUUACAUAUAUUGAUUGAUGUCUCAUGUCUCUCUAAAAUGUAUAAAAUUAAGCUGUGCCCAGACCACCUUGGGCAUGUGACAGGAGGACUUCCUGAGGCUGUGUCAUGGGAGUGUCCUCAACCUCGGCAAAAUAAACUUCCUAAAUGAACUGAGAUCUGUCUCAGAUUUUCUGGGUUCACAGGUAUGUACACAUUUUACAGCAUCACCUCACUUAAAACAACAAUCCUUAUGGUAUAACCAUUUGAACCCUAAUUUCCAGAUGAGGAAACAAAACAGAAGCACAAAGUGAAGUAAUUUGCACAUCCUGCUGGUUAAAGUUGGAGCCAGUUUCGGAACUCAUGCCCUGCUCCCCAGCCAACUCAGAAAUCUGGCUGACCCUGUCAUCAGCACGUGGCCCCAGCGUGUCUCCCAGCCCACCACACCCGCUGGAGCCUCUGAUGUUUAUAAUUCUACCAGGACUGGCUUGAAACUCCCCCUGAAUGCUGCUGGGGCUUGUUCCUGCCCAGCCUGUGUUUGCAAUGGCUUUGACUGAUUUUCUGGAAGGCAAGCCUCUGCCGGGAACACAUUCUUUUUAAUGGAGUGUUAAUCAGGAGGGAAGGAAAAGAAAGAUUUUUCUACUGCCCAGCUUCACAGGGGCUGAGCUUCCUGUCUUCUCUCAUUUUUCCCCCUAGUAUGUUUAUUUCUCCCAGGGUGGGAUGCGGCAGUGAGAGCCCUGGGCCUAAAGCUGUGCAUAGGCCCAGUCCCUACUCCACUCCUAUUGCUGACUCAUGGCAUGACUGUGAACGAGUCCCACCUAGGCCUCAGCCUCCUCAGCUGCAAGAUGGGCCUACCCUGCUACCCUGGAGUGGACUGAGGAUGAUUUUGGAGAAGUAUAAGAAUGUCAGCCCACCCUUGGCACCUAGUAGGUGCUCAGUAAAUCAUCACUUCUUCUUUCUGGCCUCCUAAUUCCCAGACAACCUGGGUCUGACUCCUUGGUGGCCUUGAACAAGUUACUUUAAUCUCUCCGUGCCUCAGUUUCCUCAUCUGAAAAAAGAAGAUAAACAGUACCCACCUCCUCUGGUUGUGGUAUUAGCUGAGAUAUUAUAGGCAACAGCAGUUAGCAAAGUGCUGAGCGAAUAGUUAGCACUCAGAGUUACCAGUUAGUGUUACUACAAUUACUGGUAAGCCUCAGUUUCCCUGUCUGGGACAAGGAGAGGUGUUUCACCGGAAACCAGUUGCGGUUAUUAACACUAUCAUUGUUCAGCCUUAACGUGCACUUCUAGACUCUGUUAUGAUGCUGGAGUGCACAAAAUCCCGUUUCUUCUUUGUUUUUUAAUUCUUUGAUAUCUGCUUAACCUAUUCUUUAUAUUAAAUGCCCUCUGUCAAAAUAUCCAACAUGGUUUCUAUUUUCCUGUCUGUACCAUGAUUGAUGAGCACCCAGAGGCCCCAAUAGCUGAGUCAGGCAGGUUAAGAUCUCUGCUGGGAGCCGGGAGAGAAGUUUUCCGUAAAGAUAACUUUGCAGGCUGCAUUCCUGAGCCCUGAGGUCACCUGUGUCACACUGUCCCAACGUCAGCUCCCAGGAAACUUUCUCUGGCUAUUCCCAGGGCUGAGGGCUACAUCCCGGCCUCCCCAUUCUCUCUCCCUCCUGCCCCUGACUUACCAGACACCUCCACGUAUCCAUCUUUG
This 2672-nucleotide long non-coding RNA is filed under the name Homo sapiens (human). RNAcentral describes it as "HSALNT0195836". Lineage: Eukaryota; Metazoa; Chordata; Mammalia; Primates; Hominidae. The record is from RNAcentral.